UGGGUGACCGGCCCUCAGCUCUGGGAUAAGCCUGGGAAACUGGGUCUAAUACCGGAUAUGACUCCUCAUCGCAUGGGUGGGGGGUGGAAAGCUUUAUUGCGGUUUUGGAUGGACUCGCGGCCUAUCAGCUUGUUGGUGAGGUAAUGGCUCACCAAGGCGACGACGGGUAGCCGGCCUGAGAGGGUGUCCGGCCACACUGGGACUGAGAUACGGCCCAGACUCCGUACGGGAGCAG
RNAcentral lists this ribosomal RNA (235 nucleotides) under uncultured bacterium. RNAcentral's name for it is "partial 16S ribosomal RNA". It matches the Rfam family "Bacterial small subunit ribosomal RNA", at positions 118 to 347 of the family's 1533-position model. The record is from RNAcentral.